GCAGAGUAGAUGCCUGCGCGUCAAGAGAGCGCGGAUGCGAUGCCGCAUCCGCGCUCUCGGCAGUGCCGAGCGGACGGGGAAUUGCCGCUCGGAUGAAAGGGCUGACCCGCGGUGCAGGCAUCGCAUCCCGCUGC
This 134-nucleotide non-coding RNA is filed under the name uncultured Mitsuokella sp. RNAcentral describes it as "THF riboswitch". It matches the Rfam family "THF (Tetrahydrofolate) riboswitch aptamer". From Rfam's summary of the family: THF riboswitch presents a pseudoknot that joins P1-P2 and the loop of P3 and two THF binding. The record is from RNAcentral. Lineage: Bacteria; Bacillati; Bacillota; Negativicutes; Selenomonadales; Selenomonadaceae.